UCCGUAGGUGGAUAAUUAAGUCAGAGGUGAAAUCCCACAGCUCAACUGUGGAACUGCCUUUGAUACUGGUUAUCUUGAGUUUUAGUGAAGUAGAUAGAAUAUGUAGUGUAGCGGUGAAAUGCUUAGAUAUUACAUAGAAUACCGAUUGCGAAGGCAGUCUACUAACUAAUAACUGACGCUAAUGGACGAAAGCGUGGGGAGCGAACAGGAUUAGAUACCCUGGUAGUC
RNAcentral lists this ribosomal RNA (228 nucleotides) under uncultured bacterium. Its description in RNAcentral is "partial 16S ribosomal RNA". It matches the Rfam family "Bacterial small subunit ribosomal RNA", at positions 568 to 795 of the family's 1533-position model. The record is from RNAcentral.